RNAcentral lists this ribosomal RNA (468 nucleotides) under uncultured bacterium. Its description in RNAcentral is "partial 16S ribosomal RNA". It matches the Rfam family "Bacterial small subunit ribosomal RNA", at positions 28 to 507 of the family's 1533-position model. The record is from RNAcentral.
GACGAACGCUGGCGGCGUGCUUAACACAUGCAAGUCGAACGGAAAGGCCCUGCUUUUGUGGGGUGCUCGAGUGGCGAACGGGUGAGUAACACGUGAGUAACCUGCCCUUGACUUUGGGAUAACUUAAGGAAACUGGGGCUAAUACCGUAUAGGAGCUCCUGCUGCGUGGUGGGGGUUGGAAAGUUUCGGCGGUUGGGGAUGGACUGGCGGCUUAUCAGCUUGUUGGUGGGGUAGUGGCUUACCAAGGCUUUGACGGGUAGCCGGCAUGAGAGGGUGACCGGCCACAUUGGUACUAAGAUACGGACCAGACGCCUACGGGAGGCAGCAGUGGGGAAUAUGGCACAAUGGGCGGAAGCCUGAGGCAGCAACGCCGCGUGCGGAAUGACGGCCUUCGGGUUGUAAACCGCUUUCGCCUGUGACGAAGCGUGAGUGACGGUAAUGGGUAAAGAAGCACCGGCUAACUACGUG